GAACGCACCUUGCGCCCUUUGGCCAUUCCGAAGGGCAUGCCUGUUUGAGUAUCAUGAACACCUCAACUCUCAUGGCUUGCCAUGAUGAGCUUGGACUUUGGGGGUCUUGUCGGCCUGCGGUCGGCUCCUCUCAAAUGAAUCAGCUUGCCGGUUUUUGGUGGGCAUCACAGGUGUGAUAACUAUCUACGCUUGUGGUUUUCCACCAGGGUAACCUUCAGCAGUGGAGGUUCACUGGAGCUUACAAAUGUCUCUCCUCUGUGAGGACAGCCGUUUGAAUGUUUGAUCUCAAAUCAGGUAGGACUACCCGCUGAACUUAAG
Molecule: unclassified non-coding RNA, 318 nt
Filed under: uncultured Thelephoraceae
Lineage: Eukaryota; Fungi; Basidiomycota; Agaricomycetes; Thelephorales; Thelephoraceae
Description: sequence contains 5.8S rRNA gene
Source: RNAcentral